UACGAAGGGGGCUAGCGUUGCUCGGAAUUACUGGGCGUAAAGCGCACGUAGGCGGAUUGUUAAGUCGGGGGUGAAAUCCUGGAGCUCAACUCCAGAACUGCCUUCGAUACUGGCGAUCUCGAGUUCGGGAGAGGUGAGUGGAACUGCGAGUGUAGAAGUGAAAUUCGUAGAUAUUCGCAAGAACACCAGUGGCGAAGGCGGCUCACUGGCCCGAUACUGACGCUGAGGUGCGAAAGCGUGGGGAGCAAACAGG
Molecule: ribosomal RNA, 253 nt
Filed under: uncultured bacterium
Lineage: Bacteria
Description: partial 16S ribosomal RNA
Rfam family: Bacterial small subunit ribosomal RNA
Source: RNAcentral